RNAcentral lists this long non-coding RNA (2716 nucleotides) under Hordeum vulgare. RNAcentral's name for it is "long non-coding RNA (HVUL_LNC016979)". The record is from RNAcentral. Lineage: Eukaryota; Viridiplantae; Streptophyta; Magnoliopsida; Poales; Poaceae.
AAAAAAGUUGUUCAUGCGGAACUGCCUUUUGCAUACAUCUUUACAAAUGAGAAUUAUUUGUGAGUUUUUUUUUCCAUAACCUAUAAUAAACGUUCAUAAUAAUAAUAAUUUCCCUUUUUAUAAUAACUACUUAUUUGUGAGAAAAAUGUUCACAUAUGGCCACAAUAUCGUUUGUCUCAUUGUUGAAAAUAAAUGUUCCCUUUUGGCUAUAAGACGUUGCCAUAUCAUCUAUAACAACACAUAUAGUCACUCAUACAACAAGGUUAGAUAUAAGGUUGUCUAUAAGAUUAAUAUGUUUUGUCAUUUUCUCUCUAUCUCUUUCUUCACAUUUAUUGCAUAUGUCUAGGAGCAUGCAUAUAGCUACAAAGACAAAAUUGACAUGUAAGAAGGCUAUAAGCCUGCUAUUGUACUUGCUCCGCGGAAGGGAAAAGAACGAACAACCCGGGGAAGGUGUUUCUUGGACAGGAGAGCCAAUAUGUGUGCCACAAGUGACCCAAAAGGAACAAUCAACACGAGACCUCUCUGCCUAACCCUUGCGCUCACUCCAUCCGAUAUGGCAUAGCCUAGGAAGCAGCCUCUUCUGUCGUUGUUGAUGGUCGUAAUUGGAACCAAUCUGAUCGGAUCACCGUUCAAUCAUAGCCAAGGAAUUAACUGGCACACCCUGCAUCCUCAAGAAGGCGCGAGGAGUGUGGUGCAUGAGACUGCCGAAGCAUGAAGGCACAACACUCCGCAAAGAGAAUAUGCCGAGGGAAAUUAACCUAUGCGGCGGUGUAGGAGGUUGAUGCAUGGAGCUGAUUUCAACUAGUUCGUGCACAUUGAAAUUCUAGAGACCCACCCGUAAUUCCUGAUGUCUCCUAUGCCUAUGCAACUAUGUCCAUCAAAAUCAUAACCUAGUGUGUAGAGUGCGAAGACAUAACACAAUCGGAUUAGACAAUUUAAAGACAUAGAAGUAUAAUGGAAAAAUAAAUUAUUGACUAUUUCCUAAGACAAGUCUUACUCCUUAUAUAAGACAUGAGUGGUAAGGAGUGACAUGAAUUCAUUGGUCCUUUAGUAGGUGAAUAGCUAAGAGCCCCUUGGUUAUGACUUAUGAGCUUGGUCAUGAAGUCAUGAUAACCGAUCCUUUUAAGGGAGCACCUAAGGAAUCAACUUAAAAGAAAAACUAUAGUUGAUUUCUUCUAAACCAUUGAAUUGCCACCGGCAAGAUUUUUUGUCAUCCUCCUCUUGAACUCGUGCACUUUCCAAUCUCAAACUGGGCUAGUGCUAAUAUUUAUUUCUCUUUUCUCAAAUAAAUGAUUAUGAUCUUUUUUUCAUAGUGACUACUUUUAUAUAUUUUGGUAAACAAUUGUUAUCUGUUGGUUACAAAAUUGUUCUUCUAUACUACAAAAAUGUUCCAUUAAUUUGUUUGAAACAAACUGUCGCUCCUGUUUUUCUCAAGGCGGAAGCGCACAAACAAAUCCGCACAAAAAGAGAAGACGAAUGUGGACGUUGAGCUAUUACUUUGUUUUUUCAGGCCGCUACUUUCCAAUAGAAGUUUCUGUACAACUUGUUGGGUCGUCCAACCCAUCUCCCAUCCCCGUUAGAGGCAGAGCCCGCCAUCGUCAGCAGUCGAUUCCGCUCCGCGCCCUAACUCGCCGCCUCUCCCUUCCAUCCUUCCCUAUCGCUCCUCCUCGUCGAUGGCGACUCCUCCUUCGUGCGCGUGGGUUGUUGAGGUUGACUAGAAGGAGGAAGGGGGCGAGUGAUUAACUGCUAACACGUUCGCAUGGAGUCACCCACGUGUGCUACCUCGCAUCGACUAGGUCUGACUCGCUGGAAACGACCGAUUCGGCCCAGAGGUGUCUUAAGAACCGUGUCAUGCAGAUUCAAUAGUACUUGUAUGUAACCAAACAACCCAAUAUAAAAAAGAUGCUACAUACAAAGAGCUUGGUUGGGAUUUUCUGGGCAACCAAACACAUCCCUAACGUCAAUCAUGGGUGGACGCAUGCAAGACAUUAAUAUUUUUCAACUGUCACCUGGGGAGAGGGGAGCUUCCCCACAUAAAUACAAGCCAUUGUUAAGUGCAAAUAUCUCUAUCAUGCAAGUCAGGGUAAAAGUAAGCAUGUCAUCUCCGUCCCGUAGUCAUCUAGCCAAGAUAGCUCUUUCUUCAGAUAGUAAGCGUGAUAUUUGGUAGACUGACUCUUCGCGACUAGGCAUUGCACUGAUAAAUUUUAGUAUAUGAAUUAAGAUGCAAUACACUAGCGACAAUUCCGUGAAAUAUUAUGCCUUGCCAUUUAGCUUAUUUGUGUCUUGGAGCUCGACGUCUAUGUUGCUCCUUGCAAACGACAACGUGAUCACCUACCUGCUUUCUAUCACCCUUGUGUGCGAAUGACCCCAAUUGUAUCCCUGUUCCAUCAUAGUAAAGGAAGUAACUAGCACAUCAUGCAUCCUCAAGAAGGUGCGAGGAGUGUGGUGCAUGAGAUUAUCAGAGCAUGAAGAUCCAAUGCUCUGUGAAGAGAAUAUACCGAGGGAAAUUAGCUGAUGUGGCGGCGUAGGAGGUGGAUGCAUGAAGCUGAUUGCAACCAGUUGGUGCAAGUUGAAAUUCUAGUAACCCAUUCGUAAUUCCUGAUGUCUCCUAUGCCUAUGCAACUAUGCUUAUCAAAAUUAUAACCUUAGCGUGCAGAGUACGGAGACAUAACACAAUUGGAUUGGAGAACAAAGAUAUAGAAGUAUAAUGGGAAAG